CACUAAGUAGCUGGUGUGGUUUUGCAGGAGGGGGUUUCUGCUGGGUCGAGUGGACAGUCACGUCCAGCCAGCACAUCAGUGACUCACAGAUCUGCAAUGAGAUGACACAGACAGUUAUUACUCUGUCCUCCUUCCUGCCGUGCACGAGGCUUGGGGAUUUUCUACAGCGGUGCCGGCAGACUUGACAUGGCCAAGCUGAAGCAUUACCUGGGCAGCCACUACACGGAACUGGUCGGAUGGUACAGGAAUCGCAGCAGUGGAAGAGACACAGUAUACCUCCGGGAAAGACUGGUUCACCAACAGCUGACGGAGGGCCGUGACACAUGCUGGGGGUCACUUCAUCCUGGCCAUCUUCACCUCCCCCCUUGUGGCACCCUCUGGCACCCUCGACUGUGCCCACAGGUUCCUUAUGGUUUCAGAAUGGGUAGGUGGUGGUGGUGGUGUUUGUUGUUGUUGUUGUUGUUGUUGUUGUUGUUGUUGUU
This is a long non-coding RNA of Scylla paramamosain (green mud crab), 482 nucleotides long. RefSeq lists it as uncharacterized. The record is from RefSeq and is a predicted model, not a curated record. The transcript is spliced from 3 exons. Lineage: Eukaryota; Metazoa; Arthropoda; Malacostraca; Decapoda; Portunidae.